GAUGAAGAACGUAGCGAAAUGCGAUAAGUAAUGUGAAUUGCAGAAUUCAGUGAAUCAUCGAAUCUUUGAACGCACCUUGCGCCCUUUGGCUAUUCCGAAGGGCAUGCCUGUUUGAGUAUCAUGAACACCUCAACUCUCAUGGCUUGCCAUGAUGAGCUUGGACUAUGGGGGUCUUGCUGGCCUGUGGUCGGCUCCUCUCAAAUGAAUCAGCUUGCCGGUGUUUGGUGGCGUCACAGGUGUGAUAACUAUCUACGCUUGUGGUGUUUUCCACCAGGUAACCUUCAACAAUGGAGGUUCGCUGGGGCUCAUAAAAGUCUCUCCUCGGUGAGGACAGCUCUUUUUGAACGUUUGAUCUCAAAUCAGGUAGGACUACCCGCUGAACUUAAGCAUAUCAAUAAGCGGAGGA
This 406-nucleotide unclassified non-coding RNA is filed under the name soil metagenome. Its description in RNAcentral is "partial contains 5.8S ribosomal RNA, internal transcribed spacer 2, and large subunit ribosomal RNA". The stretch from base 1 to 121 matches the Rfam family "5.8S ribosomal RNA", at positions 35 to 154 of the family's 154-position model. The record is from RNAcentral.